UAACUAGAACACCUAUGACAUGGAAAUAACUAUAAGUCUAUUUACAUGAGAGACUAAGGAACUUCUUGGGAAGAAAACUGUGCUAAGAAAAUUGAAGACUGGUUCUCAAAAGAGGGGUUUAAGGACAAUGGACUCAAGUGAAAUGGAAAAGGAGGUCUAGACUUACAACAGAACUCUGGAGAAGUCAAGCCUGAAACAAAACAAAACAAAACAAAACAAAUUUUGGGCACUUACAGAACUAAGGAACACACAAGAAUGGUAGAAGGAGGGCACGAGAGAGAUCCCCUUUCUUCAGCGAUGAAUACAGAGCAGAGCUCAGUCCACAGAGUGCUCAGUCAGCUAACACACACGGGUCCUCAAUGAGGAGAGUCAGCAGCAAUCAGAGAACAGUGUCCUUGGUGCAUGUAUCAAUGGCACCAGCAUCAGUGCUGGAAGCCUCAUAAAGACACAGGCAGAUAUCACCACUGCCGACAGACAGCCAUGGCAACUUUGAGACACAGUAGACUCCAGAACAGGUGAACCCAGUGAGCAAGGGCAGGAGACUUCUUUCUCUUCUAUAUGCCAUACAAAACGAAAAGAACUGUGUGUAUGCGAAAGCCAAUGUCUUCUAGGGAUUCUCAGCAAAUAUCAGGCUGGGACAUUGGUCUUCUGCUUUAGGACUGGCUUGGACUAGAGCUUAACACCAUUGGUUCUCCUGGUUCUCAGGCCUUUGAACUCAUACUGGCACUAUAUUAUUGGCUUUUCUGGAUCUCCAGCUUGCCUACUACAAAUCUUGGAAUUUCCUAGCCAUCUUAACCAUAUGAACUUUGGAAUGGAAGACAUAUUAGUACUUUGUUUUUGCAAGCUAUCAUGCAUGGAAAAGAUAAACAACUAGCAGGAGUCAUGUAAAUACAGCUGGACUUUCCAGUGAUGUCAUCGUGUUUCAUUGUUUAUCACUCCUUGUUUGCACUAUUCCCCAAUAAAUACAUCCAGGUUCCAUUACCAUGUCCACUCUGCCAAAAAGAAAACUGCAGAUGAAGAGCAGAAGGUCAAUAACUUGCCCAAGGUCAAAUAGCUAUAAGCAGUGGCUAUAGGGCCCAACUCUAUGGCCACAGCAUUAUCCGUUAUAUUGCCCUGUAAAGUCAAAAUGGAUUCCAAAGCAGGUAAUAAAGCAAAAUUUCAGUGGU
Long non-coding RNA from Leopardus geoffroyi (Geoffroy's cat), 1166 nucleotides. RefSeq lists it as uncharacterized. The transcript has 4 exons. The record is from RefSeq and is a predicted model, not a curated record. NCBI's taxonomy places the organism in Eukaryota, Metazoa, Chordata, Mammalia, Carnivora, Felidae.